RNAcentral lists this transfer RNA (72 nucleotides) under candidate division CPR3 bacterium 4484_211. RNAcentral's name for it is "tRNA-Met". It matches the Rfam family "tRNA". From Rfam's summary of the family: Transfer RNA (tRNA) molecules are approximately 80 nucleotides in length. Their secondary structure includes four short double-helical elements and three loops (D, anti-codon, and T loops). Further hydrogen bonds mediate the characteristic L-shaped molecular structure. tRNAs have two regions of fundamental functional importance: the anti-codon, which is responsible for specific mRNA codon recognition, and the 3' end, to which the tRNAs corresponding amino acid is attached (by aminoacyl-tRNA synthetases). tRNAs cope with the degeneracy of the genetic code in two manners: having more than one tRNA (with a specific anti-codon) for a particular amino acid; and 'wobble' base-pairing, i.e. permitting non-standard base-pairing at the 3rd anti-codon position. RNAcentral also lists the same sequence under 1 other name. Lineage: Bacteria; candidate division CPR3. The record is from RNAcentral.
GGCACCGUAGCUCAAACGGCAGAGCAGGGGAUUCAUAAUCCCCUGGUGCGGGUUCAAAUCCCGCCGGUGCCA